GAUAUGGCUCAAUGGCACAGCGCCUGCCUGGUAAGCAUGAGGUCCUGGGUUUGGUUCCCAAUAUC
Molecule: transfer RNA, 65 nt
Filed under: Cavia porcellus (domestic guinea pig)
Lineage: Eukaryota; Metazoa; Chordata; Mammalia; Rodentia; Caviidae
Rfam family: tRNA
About the family: Transfer RNA (tRNA) molecules are approximately 80 nucleotides in length.
Source: Rfam by way of RNAcentral